This is a non-coding RNA of Myotis davidii, 64 nucleotides long. NCBI's taxonomy places the organism in Eukaryota, Metazoa, Chordata, Mammalia, Chiroptera, Vespertilionidae. The record is from Rfam.
CUUGCAUUAAUGAGAACAGGAACAGAAACUAUGACCUAGGGGUUCCUGUUGGAUAGUUAGCAAU